Molecule: ribosomal RNA, 162 nt
Filed under: Acer stachyophyllum subsp. betulifolium
Lineage: Eukaryota; Viridiplantae; Streptophyta; Magnoliopsida; Sapindales; Sapindaceae
Description: 5.8S ribosomal RNA
Rfam family: 5.8S ribosomal RNA
About the family: 5.8S ribosomal RNA (5.8S rRNA) is a component of the large subunit of the eukaryotic ribosome. It is transcribed by RNA polymerase I as part of the 45S precursor that also contains 18S and 28S rRNA. Functionally, it is thought that 5.8S rRNA may be involved in ribosome translocation.
Source: RNAcentral
AAAACGACUCUCGGUAACGGAUAUCUCGGCUCUCGCAUCGAUGAAGAACGUAGCGAAAUGCGAUACUUGGUGUGAAUUGCAGAAUCCCGUGAACCAUCGAGUCUUUGAACGCAAGUUGCGCCCCAAGCCGUUAGGCCGAGGGCACGCCUGCCUGGGUGUCAC